RNAcentral lists this ribosomal RNA (229 nucleotides) under uncultured bacterium. RNAcentral's name for it is "partial 16S ribosomal RNA". It matches the Rfam family "Bacterial small subunit ribosomal RNA", at positions 568 to 796 of the family's 1533-position model. The record is from RNAcentral.
UGCGCAGGCGGAAGAAUAAGUCAGUGGUGAAAUACUGCCGCUCAACGGUAGGGCUGCCAUUGAUACUGUUUUUCUUGAGUAUGGUUGAGGUAGGCGGAAUGUACGGUGUAGCGGUGAAAUGCAUAGAUAUCGCCCAGAACGCCGAUUGCGAAGGCAGCUUACUAAACCAUUACUGACGCUGAGGCACGAAAGCGUGGGUAGCGAACAGGAUUAGAUACCCUGGUAGUCC